UAUCUCUGUAGAGUCUGCAUAUCAAUAAGCGGAGGAAAAGAGACUAACUAGGAUUCCCUUAGUAACGGCGAGUGAAGCGGGAAGAGCUCAAAUUUGAAAUCUUCAAGGUUUUACCUUGACGAAUUGUAGUUUAAAGAAGUGUUUUCUGUUGGAGUUUUGGUAAAAGUUCUUUGGAAUAGGACAUCAUAGAGGGUGAGAAUCCCGUAUUUGACCAUUAUUUCCAACUUUGUGAUACACUUUCAAGGAGUCGGAUUGUUUGGGAAUGCAGUCCAAAAUGGGUGGUAAAUUUCAUCUAAAGCUAAAUAUUGGCGAGAGACCGAUAGCGAACAAGUACCGUGAGGGAAAGAUGAAAAGAACUUUGAAAAGAGAGUUAAACAGUACGUGAAAUUGUCAAAAGGGAAGCGUUUGACACCAGUGUUGUUUUCUCGAAAAUCAAUUAAAUGAUGGCUUGAUGCUAGGUUGUUAUGACUUUAUCAGCAUACUGUCUACUUUUUUCCUUAUCUUUUUUAAUGCACUUUUCGUUUAACAAGUCAACAUCAAUUUCUUUUGCUGUAAAAGAGUAAUAGGAAGGUGGCUUCAUCUUCGGUAGAAAGUGUUUAUAGCCUUUGACCUCUGCAGUCGGAGAGAUUGAGGUCUGCAGCGUAGACUCUUCAGGGUUAGAUACAUUUGUGCUAAGUUAUAGCUUUCAUAGACAACUUGUUGACUAUGAUUAGUCAUUGUAGCUUACUCGCUUAUGCUAUUUUACCUACGCUUAGGAUGUUGAGUAGCGACAUACGCAC
This 779-nucleotide ribosomal RNA is filed under the name uncultured Neocallimastigales. RNAcentral describes it as "partial large subunit ribosomal RNA". It matches the Rfam family "Eukaryotic large subunit ribosomal RNA", at positions 24 to 649 of the family's 3401-position model. The record is from RNAcentral. Lineage: Eukaryota; Fungi; Neocallimastigomycota; Neocallimastigomycetes; Neocallimastigales.